AGCAAUAAGUGGCUAGAUUACUGACUGCCACCGUAUGGCCGAACCAAUGGUGGAAGCGGAGAGGAUUUUACUGAUAGUGUGAAACGGAGAAGCCAUUACAAAAGAAAAGAACCCAUCCUUUUAUUUAUUUUCUGUUGGAAUCCUAAUCAACCACAGGAUGGCUGGUUGAAUUAAUAUAUCCUCGUUGACGUCGCCUCAUGCCACGUGCUCCCUCUUCUCUCUUAUUUAUUUAUUUUUUCUUUUUCUGUAAUAUGUCUGCGAGUAUUUAUAUAUAUAUAUAUAUAUCAGCAGACUAUAGAAAUGUGUACACUUGCUCUCUACUUAUUAUUUUCAGCAUCUUCACACCCUUCCUUCCUUCUUGAUUGAUCAGUUUUCACUUCUGAGCCCAAAGAGGAAGAAAGAGAAAGAGAAGAAGAUGGAACGUGGAGGAGGCUUCCAUGGCUACCGCAAGCUGCCCACCACCACAAGCUCCUCUGCAGGUAAUGUCGGUUAAUUAUUUAUGACAUUUGAUGAAUUUGUUUGCGUGCUGCCUCUUGCAUAUGAAAAUAAAAGAAAACAAAAAUGCAACUG
RNAcentral lists this long non-coding RNA (570 nucleotides) under Ricinus communis (castor bean). RNAcentral's name for it is "long non-coding RNA (RCOM_LNC003007)". The record is from RNAcentral. Lineage: Eukaryota; Viridiplantae; Streptophyta; Magnoliopsida; Malpighiales; Euphorbiaceae.